RNAcentral lists this ribosomal RNA (253 nucleotides) under uncultured bacterium. Its description in RNAcentral is "partial 16S ribosomal RNA". It matches the Rfam family "Bacterial small subunit ribosomal RNA", at positions 524 to 776 of the family's 1533-position model. The record is from RNAcentral.
UACAGAGGGUGCGAGCGUUAAUCGGAGUUACUGGGCGUAAAGGGCGCGUAGGCGGUUAGAUGGGUGUGAUGUGAAAGCCCCAGGCUUAACCUGGGAAGUGCAUCGCAAACUAUGUAACUGGAGUAUAUGAGAGGGUGGCGGAAUUUCCGGUGUAGCGGUGAAAUGCGUAGAGAUCGGAAGGAACGUCAAUGGCGAAGGCAGCCACCUGGCAUAAUACUGACGCUGAGGCGCGAAAGCGUGGGGAGCGAACAGG